AUUGAACGCUGGCGGCAUGCCUUACACAUGCAAGUCGAACGGCAGCACGGGAGCAAUCCUGGUGGCGAGUGGCGAACGGGUGAGUAAUAUAUCGGAACGUGCCCAGUCGUGGGGGAUAACGUAGCGAAAGCUACGCUAAUACCGCAUACGAUCUAUGGAUGAAAGCGGGGGGAUCGCAAGACCUCGCGCGAUUGGAGCGGCCGAUAUCAGAUUAGGUAGUUGGUGAGGUAAAGGCUCACCAAGCCGACGAUCUGUAGCUGGUCUGAGAGGACGACCAGCCACACUGGGACUGAGACACGGCCCAGACUCCUACGGGAGGCAGCAGUGGGGGAAUCUUGGACAAUGGGCGCGAGCCUGAUCCAGCAAUGCCGCGUGCAGGAUGAAGGCCUCGGUUGUAA
This 398-nucleotide ribosomal RNA is filed under the name uncultured bacterium. Its description in RNAcentral is "bacterial SSU rRNA". It matches the Rfam family "Bacterial small subunit ribosomal RNA", at positions 29 to 428 of the family's 1533-position model. The record is from RNAcentral.